GAAUCUUGGACAAUGGGGGCAACCCUGAUCCAGCCAUGCCGCGUGAGUGAAGAAGGCCCUAGGGUCGUAAAGCUCUUUCGCCGGGGAAGAUAAUGACUGUACCCGGUAAAGAAACCCCGGCUAACUCCGUGCCAGCAGCCGCGGUAAUACGGAGGGGGUUAGCGUUGUUCGGACUUACUGGGCGUAAAGGGCACGUAGGCGGAUCUGCAAGUUGGGGGUGAAAUCCCGGGGCUCAACCCCGGAAUUGCCCUCAAGACUGCGGGUCUCGAGUUCGAGAGAGGUGAGUGGAAUUCCGAGUGUAGAGGUGAAAUUCGUAGAUAUUCGGAGGAACACCAGUGGCGAAGGCGGCUCACUGGCUCGAUACUGACGCUGAGGUGCGAAAGCGUGGGGAGCAAACAG
RNAcentral lists this ribosomal RNA (399 nucleotides) under uncultured bacterium. RNAcentral describes it as "bacterial SSU rRNA". It matches the Rfam family "Bacterial small subunit ribosomal RNA", at positions 359 to 775 of the family's 1533-position model. The record is from RNAcentral.